AUCCAGCUGACGAGUCUCAAAUAGGAGGAAACGUAGUCCUAGAU
RNAcentral lists this non-coding RNA (44 nucleotides) under Schistosoma haematobium. The record is from RNAcentral. Lineage: Eukaryota; Metazoa; Platyhelminthes; Trematoda; Strigeidida; Schistosomatidae.